CGGACGGGUGAGUAAUGUCUGGGAAACUGCCUGAUGGAGGGGGAUAACUACUGGAAACGGUAGCUAAUACCGCAUAACGUCGCAAGACCAAAGAGGGGGACCUUCGGGCCUCUUGCCAUCGGAUGUGCCCAGAUGGGAUUAGCUUGUUGGUGGGGUAACGGCUCACCAAGGCGACGAUCCCUAGCUGGUCUGAGAGGAUGACCAGCCACACUGGAACUGAGACACGGUCCAG
Molecule: ribosomal RNA, 232 nt
Filed under: uncultured bacterium
Lineage: Bacteria
Description: partial 16S ribosomal RNA
Rfam family: Bacterial small subunit ribosomal RNA
Source: RNAcentral